UAUUAUUUUUGAUGUAAAUUUUUUUUGACUUGAGUAGUAGUAGCUAUGUUCUUGAAACUUAAAGAAUUUGGCGGUAUCUUAGUCUUUUUAGAGGAAUCUGUCCCUUAAUUCGAUAGUCCGCGAAGGACCUUACUUAAUUUUUUAAUUUGUAUACCGCCGUUAUUAAAGAUUUUUUUAGAAUUAAUUUUUAGUAUUUUAUUGAAUAUUUUUCAGGUCAAGGUGCAGUUUAUAAUUGAGUGGAGAUGGAUUACAUUGUUUUAAAAUAUACGGAUUAUUUAUUUGGAUUUGGAUAUUAAGGUGGAUUUAAAGGUAAUUUUAUUAAGAAUGUUAAUGUGAUUAUAGCUCUAAGAUAUGUACAUAUCGCCCGUCAUUCUCAUUUAUUGAAGAUGAG
RNAcentral lists this ribosomal RNA (391 nucleotides) under Symplocodes ridleyi. RNAcentral's name for it is "partial 12S ribosomal RNA". Lineage: Eukaryota; Metazoa; Arthropoda; Insecta; Blattodea; Blattellidae. The record is from RNAcentral.